Molecule: ribosomal RNA, 476 nt
Filed under: uncultured bacterium
Lineage: Bacteria
Description: bacterial SSU rRNA
Rfam family: Bacterial small subunit ribosomal RNA
Source: RNAcentral
CAAGGAAUUUUCGGCAAUGGGCGCAAGCCUGACCGAGCAACGCCGCGUGCAGGAUGACGGCCUUCGGGUUGUAAACUGCUUUUGCUGAGGACGGCAUCGACGGUACUCGGCGAAUCAGCCCCGGCUAACUCUGUGCCAGCAGCCGCGGUAAGACAGAGGGGGCAAGCGUUGUCCGGAUUGACUGGGCGUAAAGGGUCCGCAGGUGGUGCGUCACGUGGGCCUGUGAAAGCGCGCGGCUUAACCGCGCGAGGCCAGACCAUACGGACGCGCUGGAGCCGCAGCGAGGGACGUGGAAUUGCCGGUGUAGUGGUGAAAUGCGUAGAGAUCGGCAGGAACACCAAGGGGAAGCCAGCGUCCUGGCUGCGUGCUGACACCCAGGGACGACCGCGUGGGGAGCGAACCGGAUUAGAUACCCGGGUAGUCCACGCCGUAAACGAUGGAUGCUCGGCAUUUGGCCGCCACUCGGUGGCUGGGUG